AUUGAACGCUGGCGGCAUGCCUUACACAUGCAAGUCGAACGGUAACGGGCCUUCGGGUGCCGACGAGUGGCGAACGGGUGAGUAAUACAUCGGAACGUGACCGAUCGUGGGGGAUAACGAGGCGAAAGCUUUGCUAAUACCGCAUACGAUCUACGGAUGAAAGCAGGGGACCGCAAGGCCUUGCGCGGACGGAGCGGCCGAUGGCAGAUUAGGUAGUUGGUGGGAUAAAAGCUUACCAAGCCGACGAUCUGUAGCUGGUCUGAGAGGGUGAUCAGCCACACUGGGACUGAGACACGGCCCAGACUCCUACGGGAGGCAGCAGUGGGGAAUUUUGGACAAUGGGCGCAAGCCUGAUCCAGCCAUGCCGCGUGCAGGAUGAAGGCCUUCGGGUUGUAAACUGCUUUUGUACGGAACGAAAAGCCUUCUUUUAAUACAGGAGGGUCAUGACGGUACCGUAAGAAUAAGCACCGGCUAACUACGUG
Molecule: ribosomal RNA, 482 nt
Filed under: uncultured bacterium
Lineage: Bacteria
Description: partial 16S ribosomal RNA
Rfam family: Bacterial small subunit ribosomal RNA
Source: RNAcentral